CUCAAUUUUUAUUCCUCUCCCAUUCUUUAUCUCUUUGAAGAAACUCACUCAUGGAGUCAUGGUAUCUUCUUAUUCUUUACCCUUCAUCUCUAUCUCUCUCUUCCUCACAUUUUCUCCUCUAAAUUGGCUCCGUAUGUUAAUUUACAACCGGAUGUGAAAGAACAUGUCGUAGCAGCUGCAGGAGCAACAACACCAUACAAAAGACUCGCGAAUCGAGAAUCGGUCUUGAUGCUUGCUUGACUUAUCUAUAGAUGAACCUGUUGUGACUUCCUGCAAGUAUUCGUAGAAGGGAGUUAAUUUCAACAGAAACGGCGAAUUUGUUUUGGAAAGGCACCCAAAGAUCAAAGUGGAAGUGGUGAAUGGUAGAAGCUUAGCUAUUGCAGUAGUGCUUAAUGGUAUCCCACUGAGAAUGUCUCAUAUUCUGUUUAGGGGUUACUACAGUAUAAAAGGUUGAAUGUUCUUCUGGACAUCUUUGCAACCUUUUGGCUAAUGUUUGGAAGUUUUUGGUGUUGAAGCAAGGAAAAUGGCGUUGACGAAAAGCUUGAGUUUUCUCUAGGAAGGAAGAGGAUAUUAAUUUAUAAAAAUAGCUAUGAUUUGAAGCAAUUUUGUGCUGAUUUUCAGCCGUCUUCACUUGAACAAAACUGGAAUUGAGUGAACAAAAACUGGAAUUGAGUGAUUUUCAGCCGUAUUCACUGGAAUUGGAACAAAAAGUGGAAUUGAGUGAGGAUAUGCAAGACUUUCUGGAACCAUACUGGAACAAAAACUUCUAAAAAUUCUGAAAUUCCUACUUCCU
Spinacia oleracea (spinach) is the source of this 793-nucleotide long non-coding RNA. RefSeq lists it as uncharacterized. The record is from RefSeq and is a predicted model, not a curated record. Lineage: Eukaryota; Viridiplantae; Streptophyta; Magnoliopsida; Caryophyllales; Amaranthaceae. The transcript is spliced from 3 exons.